AUGCUGAAAAAGAACUUUACAGGGCAUAUUCAUGCCUUAGAAAGAUUGAGAGCAUCACCGUCUACUUCUAGCCUGAAUACUGACAUUAAUCUGGCUCUUAUUGAGGUGGUCUUCACGUGCCCAUAUCUGAAUUGGACAGCUACAAGAAUCCAGAUGACAAAGUGGGAGAAAUACACUGCCAGGAUGAAGGAAGAGGAGAAAAGAGGCUUAACCUGGGAGGUAAGGGAGGUUAAAAACAUUUAUCUGGAUAUCAGAGAACAUGGUAGAGUAGACACUUUCAAGAGUCUAUUCCUCCUCAGAAGCACUGGAAUCAGCACUAAACAAUCACAAUAACUUCUAUCACAACCCUAGAAAACAGGUUUACACCAUCCAAGAUGAUGCUGAAUUAAGGAAAGGGUCACUUUAG
RNAcentral lists this long non-coding RNA (406 nucleotides) under Pan troglodytes (chimpanzee). RNAcentral's name for it is "lncRNA (ENSPTRG00000054184.1)". Lineage: Eukaryota; Metazoa; Chordata; Mammalia; Primates; Hominidae. The record is from RNAcentral.